GCAUUAAUUGGGUAGUGGUAACCUGGGUCGUUGCCACAUUCGCACCGUAUCGACCCGCCGGGGGUUCGAUUUCCCCUUAAUGCA
Mucidula mucida is the source of this 84-nucleotide non-coding RNA. NCBI's taxonomy places the organism in Eukaryota, Fungi, Basidiomycota, Agaricomycetes, Agaricales, Physalacriaceae. The record is from the annotation of a GenBank genome assembly.